GGCUCAUUAGUUCAGUUGGAUAGAACGUGGCGCUACGAACGCCAAGAUCGGGAGUUCGAAUCUCUCAUGAGUCA
This 74-nucleotide transfer RNA is filed under the name Bacteroidales bacterium. Its description in RNAcentral is "tRNA-Arg". It matches the Rfam family "tRNA". From Rfam's summary of the family: Transfer RNA (tRNA) molecules are approximately 80 nucleotides in length. Their secondary structure includes four short double-helical elements and three loops (D, anti-codon, and T loops). Lineage: Bacteria; Pseudomonadati; Bacteroidota; Bacteroidia; Bacteroidales. The record is from RNAcentral.